AUCUACAACCUUUAAAAUUAGGGAAAUAGGCAAGGAAGAAACACCAUAAAAUGUAGGCCGAAAAUUUCAGACCAGCCAGUGGCGCAGACAAUAAUGAAAGCUGAAAUAAAUGGUAUUCAUUAAAAUCCAAUAAACUUGCGGAACUAUAACAAUUUUCCACUUACCAAGGUACAAGUCCAAUUGGUAAUGCUUAAACCAUCCCACAAGAAGAAAAACGAGUAACCUGCUCAAGCUAUCCCUUCAAGCAAGAUA
This 252-nucleotide unclassified non-coding RNA is filed under the name Hevea brasiliensis (rubber tree). The record is from RNAcentral. Lineage: Eukaryota; Viridiplantae; Streptophyta; Magnoliopsida; Malpighiales; Euphorbiaceae.